This 301-nucleotide ribosomal RNA is filed under the name uncultured bacterium. RNAcentral's name for it is "partial 16S ribosomal RNA". It matches the Rfam family "Bacterial small subunit ribosomal RNA", at positions 509 to 809 of the family's 1533-position model. The record is from RNAcentral.
CAGCCGCCGCGGGAAUACGGAGGGUGCGAGCGUUAAUCGGAAUUACUGGGCGUAAAGCGUGCGUAGGUGGUUGUAUAAGUUAUCUGUGAAAUUCCUGGGCUCAACCUGGGUAGGUCAGAUAAUACUGUAUGACUCGAGUAUGGGAGAGGGUAGUGGAAUUUCCGGUGUAGCGGUGAAAUGCGUAGAGAUCGGAAGGAACACCAGUGGCGAAGGCGGCUACCUGGCCUAAUACUGACACUGGGGCACGAAAGCGUGGGGAGCAAACAGGAUUAGAUACCCGCGUAGUCCCUGUCUCUUAUAU